GCUGCUGCGGCGAGGCCCCCCAGCCUCCAGCGGGCCCCCACGUGGAGCUCUGCGGAGGAAGCUGGGAGCCCUGUGUCUUUGGUGCUCCCCUGGCCCCGCAGAGCCAAGCCAGCGGGAGACAACCGGGUCUGGGCACAGCCCCACGGCCUGUGGGAGGCCCUGCUUCUUGCAAACCAAGGCAUCGAACCCUGGAGGCUGGCUGCGGGGAGGCUGAGUGAACGGAGGCUGCCCACGCCAUGGACGGGUCUCAAACACAUGGCGCUGAGCGAGAGAAGACGAAGGAUGAUUUCUAUCCAUACACGCUCCACGUGCAGCUCUUCCGUUUGCUCAUCAGUAUUCGGAACCUACCAAAGGCUGCUGCCACCUGGAGUCAUUACAUCACCAUCGGAACAGACCCUCGUGUCGUGUGAGCAAUGGUUGGCUUUUUCAAAGCACUUUCACCUGCAUUAUCUCAUCUCCCAUCCCACGGAGCAGACGAGCACAAACCCCCGUGGAGACUAGGCCUGUUUUACAGAUAAGGUUUCCACCGGCAGUGAGCCUUGGGUGGUGGACAUUUUCACAGCAUACAUGGAAACCGUCAAGUUCCAAAGCUUCACUAAGCAGCUUGGAGUUGCCUGCAUCAGCCUGAGAUUCCCUGCCAGGUGGGGUAAGCAUUGUUAUGUUAUGUUACGUUAUUUGCUUUUUAGAGCUGCAUGGGGAGCAUACAGAGGUUCCCAGGCUAGGGGUCGAAUUAGAACUACAGCUGCUGGUCUAUACCACAACCCCAGCAAUGCUGGAUCCUUAACCCACUGAGCAAGGCCAAGGAUCGAACCUGCAUCCUCAUGGAUACGAGUCAGAUUUGUUUCCACUGAGCCACGACAGAAACUCCAGCACUGUUCUUCUCUAGAUUUCUUGGCAAAGGGGAGCCAAGAAGGGUCCUUCGACUGCUGAGUGGUUGGAGGUGAGACCACUGCAAACACUUUAUUAGUUAGGCUGACCUGGCCUGACCAGCAGUCCUUUGGGCAACAAAAUCUCUUGCCUCCCACCUGCCCUCUCUGGGUGUCUGCGAGCCACGCUGGGACCUCUAGUGCCCGAUACCCACCCAGGCUCCAGGCUGACAGUGGCUUACAGGACCCCCCCCCAACUCAGCACACUUGCUUCUCAAGUUAACUUCCUUGUUCAAAUUAGAUUAAUUUGAGUUUUUUAUUCGUUCUUUAAAAUUGACUUAGUGAUGGAAGUAGAACCUAUAGUAGAAAAGAAGGGAGGUCCUGUUGUAGCUCAGCAGUAAUGAACCUGACAAGUAACCAUGAGGACAUGAGUUCGAUCCCUGGUCCCGCUCAGUGGGUUAAGGCUCCAGUGUUGCCGUGAGCUGUGGUGUAGGUCACAGACAUGGCUCGGAUCUGGUGUUGCUGUGAUGUAGGCCAGCAGCUACAACUCUGAUUAAGAGCCCUAGUCUGGAAACCUCCAUAUGCCACAGGUGUGGCCCUAAAAACAAAAAAAAUAAUCAGCAUGGUUAGAGCCAGAGUUCUCCCAUCCCAGU
Molecule: long non-coding RNA, 1519 nt
Filed under: Sus scrofa (pig)
Lineage: Eukaryota; Metazoa; Chordata; Mammalia; Artiodactyla; Suidae
Description: lncRNA (ENSSSCG00065050955.1)
Source: RNAcentral